AACGCACAUUGCGCCUCUUGGUAUUCCAUGAGGCAUGCCUGUUCGAGCGUCAUUUGUACACUCAAGCCUUGCUUGGUGAUGGGUGCUUGUUCCGCCACGCGCGCGAACUCACCUCAAAUGCAUUGGCAGCCGGCCGCCUGGUGUUUUGGAGCGCAGCACAUUGCGCGCCCGCCACCGAGCGGCGGCGUCCACGAAGCCUAACAACACGCUUGACCUCGGAUCAGGUAGGGAUACCCGCUGAACUUAA
Molecule: unclassified non-coding RNA, 247 nt
Filed under: uncultured fungus
Lineage: Eukaryota; Fungi
Description: partial contains 5.8S ribosomal RNA, internal transcribed spacer 2, and large subunit ribosomal RNA
Source: RNAcentral